This 271-nucleotide ribosomal RNA is filed under the name uncultured bacterium. RNAcentral describes it as "partial 16S ribosomal RNA". It matches the Rfam family "Bacterial small subunit ribosomal RNA", at positions 524 to 794 of the family's 1533-position model. The record is from RNAcentral.
UACGUAGGUGACUAGCGUUGUUCGGAUUUACUGGGCGUAAAGGGCGCGUAGGCGGCGCAACAAGUCACUUGUGAAAUCUCCGGGCUUAACCCGGAGCGGCCAAGUGAUACUGUCGUGCUAGAGUGCGGAAGGGGCUACUGGAAUUCUCGGUGUAGCGGUGAAAUGCGUAGAUAUCGAGAGGAACACCUGCGGCGAAGGCGGGUAGCUGGGCCGACACUGACGCUGAGGCGCGAAAGCUAGGGGAGCGAACGGGAUUAGAAACCCUGGUAGU